CAGUCGCCGCGGUAAUACGAAGGGGGCUAGCGCUGUUCGGAUUUACUGGGCGUAAAGGGUGCGUAGGCGGACUGAUAAGUCAGGGGUGAAAUCCCAAGGCUCAACCUUGGAACUGCCUUUGAUACUGUUAGUCUUGAGUUCGAGAGAGGUGAGUGGAACCGCGAGUGUAGAGGUGAAAUUCGUAGAUAUUCGCAAGAGCACCAGUGGCGAAGGCGACUCUCUGGUCUGUAACUGACGCUGAGGAGCGAAAGCGUGGGGAGCGAACAGGAUUAGAUACCCCUGUAGUCCCUGUCUCUUAUAC
RNAcentral lists this ribosomal RNA (301 nucleotides) under uncultured bacterium. Its description in RNAcentral is "partial 16S ribosomal RNA". It matches the Rfam family "Bacterial small subunit ribosomal RNA", at positions 509 to 807 of the family's 1533-position model. The record is from RNAcentral.